Molecule: long non-coding RNA, 68 nt
Organism: Otolemur garnettii (small-eared galago)
Lineage: Eukaryota; Metazoa; Chordata; Mammalia; Primates; Galagidae
Exons: 3
Source: RefSeq, a predicted model, not a curated record
CUUUUUGUCCGGCUUCUUUCACUUAGUAUAAUGUCAUCAGAGUUCAUCCAUGUUGAAGCCUCACAUCA